This 27-nucleotide small RNA is filed under the name Bombyx mori (domestic silkworm). RNAcentral's name for it is "ovarian small RNA-31314". Lineage: Eukaryota; Metazoa; Arthropoda; Insecta; Lepidoptera; Bombycidae. The record is from RNAcentral.
UGACAAGGCAGAGUUGCUGGCCGAUGC